Zingiber officinale is the source of this 621-nucleotide long non-coding RNA. RefSeq lists it as uncharacterized. NCBI's taxonomy places the organism in Eukaryota, Viridiplantae, Streptophyta, Magnoliopsida, Zingiberales, Zingiberaceae. The record is from RefSeq and is a predicted model, not a curated record. The transcript is spliced from 4 exons.
UCCAUUUUGAUAUCAGGUUCAUAAGCAAGGUGUUGCACUUGGAAGAUCUGUUGACUUGACAAAGUUUGAUGGUUAUGACCAAUUGAUCGAGGAGUUAGAUCAGCUAUUUGAAUUCAAAGGAGAAUUGAUGGCUCCAAAUAAAAAUUGGAUGAUUGUAUUUACUGAUAAUGAGGAUGAUAUGAUGCUUGUUGGAGAUGACCCUUGGCAGGAAUUUUGUGCUAUGGUCCGUCAGAUUUUUAUAUACACAAAAGAGGAGGUCCAGAAGAUGGAUUCAAGUACCUUGAACCCAAAAAAUGAAGAUUGUCCUGAUAUGAAAGAGAAUGUCAAGGAAACAAAAGGCAGUCAAUCUGCAUCAUCAUCUAAUUCAAAAAACUCAUAGGCUUAUCCUGCAAUGAUCUUGAAGCACAAACAAAGUGAUUGUUUGUGCUUUAUCUAAGUGAUUGUUUGAACAGUUUUAUAGCAUGCAUCUUGACAAUUAAUAUAAUUUUGAAGAUCACGAUCAAGGAAGAAUGUUCAAAGGAAAGUAAAGGCUAAGGAGAAGAUCACGUAAUUAACUACACGGGUCUAGUGAAAAUACUGAAGAAGUAUGACAAGAGAACAGGAGCACUUAUCAGGCAGCCC